UGCUUUAAAGCAUGAACAAUGUAACGAGCGUGUGCCGCGACAAUUUUACCAAUUCGCGCGACAUUGAUUUUCAAAGUGAUCGACGAAAUUAUCUGGCUCCACAGUUCACCGUUGCUUAUUCGAUUUAUCUAUCCUCGAGGCGAUUUAAAUAAGUCGGGGUAAACGUAUGCUAUGAAAAUUUGCGAAGCGCAUGCGACAAGAAAGGUGAAGUUAAAUGUAAAUUGUAAAGCGUAAUGUAUGUUGCAAAUAACUG
RNAcentral lists this unclassified non-coding RNA (253 nucleotides) under Bombus terrestris (buff-tailed bumblebee). RNAcentral's name for it is "misc RNA ENSBTSG00005030326.1". The record is from RNAcentral. Lineage: Eukaryota; Metazoa; Arthropoda; Insecta; Hymenoptera; Apidae.